GACGGGGGGUGCGAGCGUUAAUCGGAUUUAUUGGGUGUAAAGGGGGCCUAGGUGGCUGAGUAAGUCAGAGGUGAAAGCUCCACGGCUCAACCGGGAAAUCGCCUUUGAUACUGCUUGGCUCGAGUCCGGACGAGGGAAGCGGAAUUCCGUGUGUAGCGGUGAAAUGCGUAGAUAUACGGAGGAACACCAGUGGCGAAGGCGGCUUCCUGGGCCGGUACUGACGCUGAAGCCCGAAAGCGUGGGGAGCGAACGGG
RNAcentral lists this ribosomal RNA (254 nucleotides) under uncultured bacterium. RNAcentral describes it as "partial 16S ribosomal RNA". It matches the Rfam family "Bacterial small subunit ribosomal RNA", at positions 524 to 776 of the family's 1533-position model. The record is from RNAcentral.